CACAGACACACAGACACACACACACACACACAGACACACACACACACACACACACACACACACACACACACACACACACACACACACACACACACACACACACACACACACACACACACACACACACAAUAUGUAAAAAUGUGUGACCACACUGCAGAAUAUAAGGCAGGGUAGCCUAGUGGUUAGAGUGUAGAGGCGGCAGGGUAGCCUAGUGGUUAGAGUGUAGAGGCGGCAGGGUAGCCUAGUGGUUAGAGUGUAGAGGUGGCAGGGUAGCCUAGUGGUUAGAGUGUAGAGGCGGCAGGGUAGCCUAGUGGUUAGAGUGUAGAGGCGGCAGGGUAGCCUAGUGGUUAGAGCGUAGAGGCGGCAGGGUAGCCUAGUGGUUAGAGUGUAGAGGCGGCAGGGUAGCCUAGUGGUUAGAGUGUAGAGGCGGCAGGGUAGCCUAGUGGUUAGAGCGUAGAGGCUGGCAGGGUAGCCUAGUGGUUAGAGCGUAGAGGCGGCAGGGUAGCCUAGGGGUUAGAGUGUAGAGGCGGCAGGGUAGCCUAGUGGUUAGAGUGUAGAGGCGGCAGGGUAGCCUAGUGGUUAGAGUGUAGAGGCGGCAAGGUAGCCUAGUGGUUAGAGUGUAGAGGCGGCAGCGUAGCCUAGUGGUUAGAGCGUUAUGGCCAGUAAUCGAAAGGUUGCUUGGUCGAAUCCCCCGAGCUGACAAGGUAAAAAUCUGUCGUUCUGCCCCUGAACAAGGCAGUUAAACGCCACUGUUCCUAGACCGUCAUUGAAAAUAAGAAUUUGUUCUUAACUGACUUGCCUAGUUAAAUAAAGGUUAAAUAAAUUAAUAAGAUUAAAAAACAAGGGCCCAUCCAAUUUGUUGAGAUUUGUUUUCCUUCUUCCACAAACAAGCAAUUCUUAAAUGUGAUUUAAAUUUGUCUGAACUAUUAGAAAGCGUGCACAGAAUUGAAAAGAUACGUUAAUUCUAUACUGAGGGAGCAUAAGCACUCAGAAACGAACAUUUAUUAGCAUUAGCAUUCUCAUAGAGAAUGACUGGGGGUGUUAGCUCGUUAACGUCGUGGCACGACAGAUCGCAAAUAUCCUAAUGUUAUCGUCAUAAAACAUUUCGCCACCGUUUCUGUCUUUUGUCGUUUGAUAUUCU
Molecule: long non-coding RNA, 1141 nt
Filed under: Salmo salar (Atlantic salmon)
Lineage: Eukaryota; Metazoa; Chordata; Actinopteri; Salmoniformes; Salmonidae
Description: lncRNA (ENSSSAG00000121647.1)
Source: RNAcentral